GACGAACGCUGGCGGCGUGCUUAACACAUGCAAGUCGAACGGAAAGGCCCUGCUUUUGUGGGGUGCUCGAGUGGCGAACGUGUGAGUAACACGUGAGUAACCUGCCCUUUACUUUGGGAUAACUUCAGGAAACUGGGGCUAAUACCGGAUAGGAGCUCCUGCUGCAUGGUGGGGGUUGGAAAGUUUCGGCGGUUGGGGAUGGACUCGCGGCUUAUCAGCUUGUUGGUGGGGUAGUGGCUUACCAAGGCUUUGACGGGUAGCCGGCAUGAGAGGGUGACAGGCCACAUUGGGACUGAGAUACGGCCCAGACUCCUACGGGAGGAAGCAGUGGGGAAUAUUGAACAAUGGGCGGAAGCCUGAUGCAGAAACGCAGCGUGCGGGAUGACGGCCGUCGGGUUGUAAACCGCUUUCGCCUGUGACGAAGCGUGAGUGACGGUAAUGGGUAAAGAAGCACCGGCUAACUACGUG
This 468-nucleotide ribosomal RNA is filed under the name uncultured bacterium. RNAcentral's name for it is "partial 16S ribosomal RNA". It matches the Rfam family "Bacterial small subunit ribosomal RNA", at positions 28 to 507 of the family's 1533-position model. The record is from RNAcentral.